This 460-nucleotide ribosomal RNA is filed under the name uncultured bacterium. RNAcentral describes it as "partial 16S ribosomal RNA". It matches the Rfam family "Bacterial small subunit ribosomal RNA", at positions 338 to 795 of the family's 1533-position model. The record is from RNAcentral.
CCUACGGGUGGCAGCAGUGAGGAAUAUUGGUCAAUGGCCGCGAGCCUGAACCAGCCAAGUCGCGUGAAGGAUGACUGCCCUACGGGUUGUAAACCUCUUUUAUCCAGGAAUAAAGCGAGUCACGUGUGCCUUUUUUUAUGUACUUUAUGAAUACGCAUCGGCUAACUCCGUGCCAUCAGCCGCGGUAAUACGGAGGAUCCAAGCGUUCUCCGGAUUUAUUGGGUUUAAAGGGGGCGUAGUAGGGUUGUGAAGUCAGUUGUGAAAGUUUCGGGCUCAACCGUAAAAUUGCAAUUGAUACUGGCAGCCUUGAGUACAGGUGAGGUAGGCGGAAUGCGUGGUGUAGCGGUGAAAUGCUUAGAUAUCACGAAGAACUCCGAUUGCGAAGGCAGCAUACUAAACUGCAACUGACAUUGAUGCUCGAAAGUGUGGGUAUCAAACAGGAUUAGAUACCCGUGUAGUC